This 253-nucleotide ribosomal RNA is filed under the name uncultured bacterium. RNAcentral's name for it is "partial 16S ribosomal RNA". It matches the Rfam family "Bacterial small subunit ribosomal RNA", at positions 524 to 776 of the family's 1533-position model. The record is from RNAcentral.
UACAGAGGGGGCAAGCGUUGUUCGGAAUUACUGGGCGUAAAGGGCGCGUAGGCGGCCCGCUAAGUCGAACGUGAAAUCCCCGAGCUCAACUCGGGAACUGCGUCCGAUACUGGUGGGCUUGAAUCCGGGAGAGGGAUGCGGAAUUCCAGGUGUAGCGGUGAAAUGCGUAGAUAUCAGGAGGAACACCAAUUGCGAAGGCAGCUCGCUGGGACGUUACUGACGCUGAGACGCGAAAGCGUGGGGAGCAAACAGG